Molecule: ribosomal RNA, 433 nt
Filed under: uncultured bacterium
Lineage: Bacteria
Description: partial 16S ribosomal RNA
Rfam family: Bacterial small subunit ribosomal RNA
Source: RNAcentral
AACGAACGCUGGCGGCAGGCCUAACACAUGCAAGUCGAGCGAGGACUUCGGUCCUAGCGGCGGACGGGGGAGUAACGCGUGGGAACGUGCACUUUGCGUCGGAAUAGCCCUGGGAAACUGGGAGUAAUACCGGAUGAGCCCUUAGGGGGAAAGAUUUAUCGGCGAAGGAGCGGCACGAGUUGGAGUAGGUAGUUGGUGGGGUAAUGGCCUACCAAGCCGACAAUCACUAGCUGGUUUGGGAGGAGGAUCAGCCACACUGGGACUGAGACACGGCCCAGACUCCUCCGGGAGGCAGGAGUGGGUAAUCUUGGACCGUCGCGUAAAUCCUGAUCUAGCCAUGCUGCUUGAGCGAUGAAGGCCUUAGGGUUGUAAAGCUCUUUCAGCUGGGAAGAUAAUGACGGUACCUGCAGAAGAAGCCCCGGCUAACUCCGUG